UAAAGGAGGACUUUCCAUGACCUGCAAACCCAAAAAGCUGAAGGAGCACUCGAUUAAACCCCUGGGAUCCUAGACUACAGUGAUGGAAGUCAAAGCUUUGAAUGUUACGUCUCAGCUGAGGUAUAUCGUCCAUGUCUGAAUGAUGUUUGUUAAAUCUGGUUUCUAAAGGUUUAGAAGAAAAGACAAAGUCCUUCAUUUACAGCCUCGUUACAUACCGAAAGUCAGAUCAUAG
Molecule: non-coding RNA, 232 nt
Organism: Pelobates cultripes (western spadefoot toad)
Lineage: Eukaryota; Metazoa; Chordata; Amphibia; Anura; Pelobatidae
Source: the annotation of a GenBank genome assembly